This 444-nucleotide ribosomal RNA is filed under the name uncultured bacterium. Its description in RNAcentral is "bacterial SSU rRNA". It matches the Rfam family "Bacterial small subunit ribosomal RNA", at positions 355 to 796 of the family's 1533-position model. The record is from RNAcentral.
UGAGGAAUAUUGCGCAAUGGAGGCAACUCUGACGCAGCCAUGCCGCGUGCAGGAAGAAGGCGCUACGCGUUGUAAACUGCUUUUAUCCGGGAAGAAACCCUCCGACGUGUCGGAGGUUGACGGUACCGGAGGAAUAAGCACCGGCUAACUUCGUGCCAGCAGCCGCGGUAAUACGAAGGGUGCAAGCGUUAUCCGGAUUCAUUGGGUUUAAAGGGUGCGUAGGUGGGGCGGUAAGUCAGUGGUGAAAUCCUGCAGCUUAACUGUAGAAUCGCCAUUGAUACUGUCGCUCUUGAGUACGCUUGACGUGGGCGGAAUGUGCCGUGUAGCGGUGAAAUGCUUAGAUAUGGCACAGAACACCGAUAGUGAAGACAGCUCACGAAGGCGAAACUGACACUGAGGCACGAAAGCGUGGGGAUCGAACAGGAUUAGAUACCCGUGUAGUCC